AUACUUACCUGACAGGGGAGAUACCAUGAUCACAAAGGUGGUUUUCCCAGUGCGAGGCUCACCAUUGCACCCCGGAGGUGCAGACCCCUGUGUUUUCCCCAAAUGAAAAAAAUAAGAAAAGAAAGAAAGAAAGUUUCGUCUUCCA
Molecule: non-coding RNA, 145 nt
Organism: Gorilla gorilla gorilla (western lowland gorilla)
Lineage: Eukaryota; Metazoa; Chordata; Mammalia; Primates; Hominidae
Source: Rfam